RNAcentral lists this ribosomal RNA (2365 nucleotides) under Escherichia coli. Its description in RNAcentral is "partial 23S ribosomal RNA". It matches the Rfam family "Bacterial large subunit ribosomal RNA", at positions 1 to 2406 of the family's 2925-position model. The record is from RNAcentral. Lineage: Bacteria; Pseudomonadati; Pseudomonadota; Gammaproteobacteria; Enterobacterales; Enterobacteriaceae.
GGUUAAGUGACUAAGCGUACAUGGUGGAUGCCUUGGCAGUCAGAGGCGAUGAAGGACGUACUAACCUGCGAUAAGCCGUGAGCAGUCGGUAAGAGACAUUACGACUCACGGAUUUCCGAAUGGGGAAACCCACUUAGCAUAAGCUAGGUAUCGCUGCGUGAAUACAUAGCGUAGCGAGGCGAACCGGGAGAACUGAAACAUCUAAGUACCCCGAGGAAAAGAAAUCAACCGAGAUUCCCUCAGUAGCGGCGAGCGAACGGGGAUUAGCCCUUAAGCAUCUUGGAAGUUAGUGGAACGGUCCUGGAAAGGCCGGCGAUACAGGGUGAUAGCCCCGUACACGAAAACAACCUUGAUGUGAAAUCGAGUAGGGCGGGACACGUGACAUCCUGUCUGAAUAUGGGGGGACCAUCCUCCAAGGCUAAAUACUCCUGACUGACCGAUAGUGAACCAGUACCGUGAGGGAAAGGCGAAAAGAACCCCUGUGAGGGGAGUGAAAUAGAACCUGAAACCGUGUACGUACAAGCAGUGGGAGCCCUUCGGGGUGACUGCGUACCUUUUGUAUAAUGGGUCAGCGACUUACAUUUUGUAGCGAGGUUAACCGUAUAGGGGAGCCGUAGGGAAACCGAGUCUUAACUGGGCGUCUAGUUGCAAGGUGUAGACCCGAAACCGGGUGAUCUAGCCAUGGGCAGGUUGAAGGUUGAGUAACAUCAACUGGAGGACCGAACCCACUAACGUUGCAAAGUUAGGGGAUGACCUGUGGCUGGGGGUGAAAGGCCAAUCAAACUCGGAGAUAGCUGGUUCUCCCCGAAAGCUAUUUAGGUAGCGCCUCGGACGAAUACUACUGGGGGUAGAGCACUGUUUGGGCUAGGGGGUCAUCCCGACUUACCAACCCCAUGCAAACUCCGAAUACCAGUAAGUACUAUCCGGGAGACACACGGCGGGUGCUAACGUCCGUCGUGAAGAGGGAAACAACCCAGACCGCCGGCUAAGGUCCCAAAGUUCUGGUUAAGUGGGAAACGAUGUGGGAAGGCUCAGACAGCUAGGAUGUUGGCUUAGAAGCAGCCAUCAUUUAAAGAAAGCGUAAUAGCUCACUAGUCGAGUCGGCCUGCGCGGAAGAUGUAACGGGGCUCAAACCAGGCACCGAAGCCGCGGAUUCACGCUAAGCGUGAGUGGUAGGGGAGCGUUCUGUAAGUCUGCGAAGGUGUAUCGAGAGGUAUGCUGGAGAUAUCAGAAGUGCGAAUGCUGACGUAAGUAACGAUAAAGGGGGUGAAAAGCCUCCUCGCCGGAAGACCAAGGGUUCCUGUCCAACGUUAAUCGGGGCAGGGUGAGUCGACCCCUAAGGUGAGGCCGAAAGGCGUAAUCGAUGGGAAGCAGGUUAAUAUUCCUGCACGACUUGUAAUUGCGAUGGGGGGACGGAGAAGGCUAGGUGGGCCAGGCGACGGUUGUCCUGGUGAAAGUGCGUAGGUGGUGUUUCUAGGCAAAUCCGGAGACACAACACUGAGACACGAGACGAACGCACCACGGUGCGGAAGCCAUUGAUGCCCUGCUUCCAGGAAAAGCCUCUAAGCUUCAGAUUACAAGUCAUCGUACCCCAAACCGACACAGGUGGUCGGGUAGAGAAUACCAAGGCGCUUGAGAGAACUCGGGUGAAGGAACUAGGCAAAAUAGAACCGUAACUUCGGGAGAAGGUUCGCUCUUGAUGGUGAAGUCCCUUGCGGAUGGAGCUGUCGGGAGUCGCAGUGACCAGAUGGCUGGGACUGUUUAUCAAAAACACAGCACUCUGCAAACACGAAAGUGGACGUAUAGGGUGUGACACCUGCCCGGUGCCGGAAGGUUAAUUGAUGGGGUUAGCGCAAGCGAAGCUCUUGAUCGAAGCCCCGGUAAACGGCGGCCGUAACUAUAACGGUCCUAAGGUAGCGAAAUUCCUUGUCGGGUAAGUUCCGACCUGCACGAAUGGUGUAACCAUGGCCAUGCUGUCUCCACCCGAGACUCAGUGAAAUCGAAUUCGCCGUGAAGAUGCGGUGUACCCGCGGCUAGACGGAAAGACCCCGUGAACCUUUACUACAGCUUGGCACUGAACAUUGAACCUACAUGUGUAGGAUAGGUGGGAGGCUUUGAAGGCGUGACGCCAGUUGCGCUGGAGCCGUCCUUGAAAUACCACCCUUGUAUGUUUGAUGUUCUAACGCAGGGCCCUGAAUCGGGCUCGCGGACAGUGCCUGGUGGGUAGUUUGACUGGGGCGGUCUCCUCCCAAAGAGUAACGGAGGAGCACGAAGGUUGGCUAAUCCUGGUCGGACAUCAGGAGGUUAGUGCAAUGGCAUAAGCCAGCUUAACUGCGAGACGGACAGGUCGAGCAGGUACGAAAGU